GGUCUAUUAGUCUAGUUGGUUAGGACGUCGGAUUCUGAUUCACACCCAGACUCUUCCGUAGGCCCAGGUUCGAAUCCUGGAUGGACCU
Molecule: transfer RNA, 88 nt
Organism: Colletotrichum chlorophyti
Lineage: Eukaryota; Fungi; Ascomycota; Sordariomycetes; Glomerellales; Glomerellaceae
Rfam family: tRNA
About the family: Transfer RNA (tRNA) molecules are approximately 80 nucleotides in length. Their secondary structure includes four short double-helical elements and three loops (D, anti-codon, and T loops).
Source: Rfam